Molecule: ribosomal RNA, 253 nt
Filed under: uncultured bacterium
Lineage: Bacteria
Description: partial 16S ribosomal RNA
Rfam family: Bacterial small subunit ribosomal RNA
Source: RNAcentral
UACAGAGACUGCAAGCGUUAUUCGGAUUCACUGGGCGUAAAGGGUGCGCAGGUGGCCGUAUGUGUGAGGCGUGAAAGCCCGGGGCUUAACCCCGGAAUUGCACCUCAAACUACAUGGCUAGAGCAUUGGAGAGGGUAGCGGAAUUCACGGUGUAGCAGUGAAAUGCGUAGAUAUCGUGAGGAACACCAGAGGCGAAGGCGGCUACCUGGACAAUUGCUGACACUCAGGCACGAAAGCGUGGGGAGCAAAAGGG